UAAGGCUCCUGUUAGGCUAGGCAUCACCUGUAGGCCGACUCAUUUGUGCAGUCUGUUGGAUCCUGGCUAUUAACAUUUGAGGAAUGGUAUACCAGCGGGAUGUUCAUCCUAAAAUGAAAUACAAUUUGGGCUCAGCUUGACACAACACUUUGGAUGUAAUAUGUCUGACACAUUUUUUUAUUUGGUGGUGAACCUACCCUUUAAUACAUUAUUUAGUAAUCCUCCUAUAGUUGACCCCUAGAAUGGAAUGACUCACAGCUAACAGCAAAAUAACAGAUAUACAAGUUCUCUCUCUGUCACCUCUCAAUCUAUCUGUCUCCUCUCUCUCUUUCACACCCAGCAGGUGUGUUUGCCCAUAGAGUGGUGUUUUGCAUAGCUGUUGAGCCUCACUGCUCCUGACACUAAGACUGCAGUGUUAUCCUCGUUGUGUCCAGUCAGUCUUCUUAGAGCCACAGAUGAGGAAGAUGCUGAUCGUGCUGGCGUUCCUCCUGACUCAGAGUGAGGAACUCUCAGCAUCUCAUUGUGGUCUACUGGUGUUAAUGGUCACAUGGAACACGAUUCCAAUGCCUUUAUUUGGAUUAUUGUGACGACUCAAAGCAAAUUAUUCACUGUUUCCAGUUCAGAGUCAUCUGCACGUGUCCUGAAUCAAGCUGAUUAAUCAAAGUCUGUUUGCCUGGAAGAGAGUGUUUCUAUCAAAGCUGUUGCAAGUUCAACCGGUAUUGGUGAUGACAUGAGCUGGUACCUGCAGAAACCUGGACAGGCUCCUAAACUCCUCAUCUAUAUAGUAAAAACCCUUCAGUCUGGAACACCAUCUAGAUUCAGUGGCAGUAGAUCAGGAUCCAGAGGUCAGGUGACUGUGACUCAGCCUCCUGUAGUGACAUUUUCUCCAGGAGACCCCGUCACUCUGACCUGUACAACCAACCCUGAAGUGUACAAAUGGAGUAGCGGAAAUGAGGGUGCGUACUGGUAUCAACAGAGACCUGGAGAAACUCCCAAACUCCUGAUAAAAUAUAUAAAGACACGGCUAGAUGGGAUUCCUGCUAGAUUCAGUGGCAGUGGGUCUGAGAGUGACUUCACUCUGACCAUCAGUGGAGUCCAGGCUGAAGAUGCAGCAGUUUACUACUGUAAGAGUGUCCACAGUGGAGUCUGCUGUCUUCUCAGAGCCACAAAUGAUGAUGAUACCACUGAUUCCCCUGCUGACCACUCUGGGGUUCCUGACUCAGGGUGAGAAAGUCUCAGCAUCUCUCUCUACUGGUUCUAAUAGGUUGGAAUGGGAAAGUCUUCUCUAAUAGGUUUGAAUGGGAAAGUCCAAGCUGAAGAUGCAGGAGAUUCCUAUGGUAUGAGUGUAUAUGGUGGACCAGUGUUCACACAGUAAUUUAGAGUCAUACAAGCACCUUCCUCAGUCAGACUGUACAGAGACUGUACUGCUGCAGCUGGGACCUACUGCAGGUGUUGAGGAGCAACAGACAUGAAACACUGGUUCACUGAAUCCAAGCCUAAGAUCCUCACACAGCUUUAGACAGUCCCACACCAGGACAAUGUUACCCUGGUUACUCAUGACAGGAUCAUAGUUCACCAAACCACCUCCUCUCUACAACCAUAACCAUAACUUCACCUCCGAAUAGAAACAACCACUUUACUACCAGACCAUUGACCUUCAUCUCUGGAAUGUUCACAUAGAAAUACAUUGUGUAGAACAUACAUCAUUAUCUGUCAAAUAGAACAUUGAGUGUUAGCUCUAUUCAUUGUACUUCUAUCUGUAACGUUGAAAAUGCUUUUCCUCACUGAAUGCGGCCCUGAUUUGCAUGGUCAUGGUGGUUUGGCUUCUCCCAGAAUAGAGCAGAAAGAGACAGAAACAGAGACGGAAACAGAGAGAGAGACAGUGAGAGAGAGAGACAGUGAGAGAGACA
Non-coding RNA from Oncorhynchus kisutch (coho salmon), 1910 nucleotides. NCBI's taxonomy places the organism in Eukaryota, Metazoa, Chordata, Actinopteri, Salmoniformes, Salmonidae. The record is from the annotation of a RefSeq genome assembly.